GUGCUUGCUGUAGUAGCACAUAUACUAAAAUUGGAAUGAUACUAAGAAGAUUAGCAUGUUGUUUGAGUAAGGAUAACAUUCAAAUUCAUGAAGCAUUUCAUACUUUU
Small nuclear RNA from Microtus ochrogaster (prairie vole), 107 nucleotides. The record is from Ensembl. NCBI's taxonomy places the organism in Eukaryota, Metazoa, Chordata, Mammalia, Rodentia, Cricetidae.